GUGCUCGCUUCGGCAGCGCAUAUAAUAAAGUUGGAACGAUACAGAGAAGAUUAGCAUGGCCCCUGCACAAGGAUGACAUGCAAAUUCGUGAAGCGUUCCAUAUUUUU
Dipodomys ordii (Ord's kangaroo rat) is the source of this 107-nucleotide small nuclear RNA. Lineage: Eukaryota; Metazoa; Chordata; Mammalia; Rodentia; Heteromyidae. The record is from Ensembl.